Molecule: ribosomal RNA, 568 nt
Filed under: uncultured Neisseriaceae bacterium
Lineage: Bacteria; Pseudomonadati; Pseudomonadota; Betaproteobacteria; Neisseriales; Neisseriaceae
Description: bacterial SSU rRNA
Rfam family: Bacterial small subunit ribosomal RNA
Source: RNAcentral
ACAAUUAGCUGUUGGGACACUAGAUGUCUUAGUAGCGAAGCUAACGCGUGAAAUUGUCCGCCUGGGGAGUACGGUCGCAAGAUUAAAACUCAAAGGAAUUGACGGGGACCCGCACAAGCGGUGGAUGAUGUGGAUUAAUUCGAUGCAACGCGAAGAACCUUACCUGGUCUUGACAUGUACGGAAUCUCUUAGAGAUAGGAGAGUGCCUUCGGGAACCGUAACACAGGUGCUGCAUGGCUGUCGUCAGCUCGUGUCGUGAGAUGUUGGGUUAAGUCCCGCAACGAGCGCAACCCUUGUCAUUAGUUGCCAUCAUUAAGUUGGGCACUCUAAUGAGACUGCCGGUGAUAUGCCGGAGGAAGGUGGGGAUGACGUCAAGUCCUCAUGGCCCUUAUGACCAGGGCUUCACACGUCAUACAAUGGUCGGUACAGAGGGUAGCGAAGCCGCGAGGUGAAGCCAAUCUCAGAAAGCCGAUCGUAGUCCGGAUUGCACUCUGCAACUCGAGUGCAUGAAGUCGGAAUCGCUAGUAAUCGCAGGACAGCAUACUGCGGUGAAUACGUUCCCGGGUCU